This 978-nucleotide ribosomal RNA is filed under the name Harpago chiragra. RNAcentral describes it as "12S ribosomal RNA". The stretch from base 247 to 977 matches the Rfam family "Microsporidia small subunit ribosomal RNA". The record is from RNAcentral. Lineage: Eukaryota; Metazoa; Mollusca; Gastropoda; Littorinimorpha; Strombidae.
AUUUUUAUCUCUGAGAUAAGUAAAUUGGUUAAUAAAUAUUAACAUUACAUAAAGGUAAUCAAAAUAAAUAAUCUUCAACGUAAAGCUUGGCUCUGACUUAUGUGUACAACAAAAAUAAGGGAAUACACAUGGUACUUUUUUAGGGGAGGUGAGGACAAAUAGUGUAAAAACUGAAGUGAAAAACUUCAUCUCUUUACAUUUCUACUAGUAUUAUAAAUUGCAUGAUGCUUUGCUAUGUCCCACUAACACCAGUGACUGAUAUUAAGUUAAAAAGUGAAAGCUUGACUUAGGCUAAUUUAGUAGGUCUGGUUAACUUGGUGCCAGCAUCCGCGGUUAUACCAAGAAGACCAAGUUGUACUUUAUAUGGUUAAAAGAUAGUUAGGCACAUAAUUUGUUAUUAAAUUUCUUGUUUAAGGGUGCAAUCUGAAUUCAGGUAAAAGUUCUACAGAUAACAUUAUUUGACGCUGAGGCUAUGAAAAUCUAGAGGGAAACUAGGAUUAGAUACCCUAUUAUUCUUGAUAGUAAACUGACUUAUUAUAUCUACCAGAGUACUACGAAACAUAAUAAAAUUUAAAACUCAAAGGGCUUGGCGGUGCUUUAGACCACUUAGGGGAACCUGUCUCAUAAUCGACAAUCCACGCAACACCUUACCUUAUGCUUGCUUUCAGUAUGUAUACCGUCGUCGGCAGGUAACUUUUAAGAAAUAAGAAGUUAGCAAAAUAAGAUUCAAGAUUGAUUUAUCUAUUACGUCAGAUCAUGGUGCAGCUUAUGCUAAGGAGAGGAUGGGUUACAAUUAAAAUUUAUAAUUACGAAAGAGGUUAGGAAUAUAUCUUUCCUCGGAAGGAGGACUUAAAAGUAAAUGUAAUUAAAUAAAUUCAUUGAAUAAGGCUCUGAAGCGUGCACACAUCGCCCGUCGCUCUCGUUGAAAAAUGAGAUAAGUCGUAACAUAGUAGGAGUAAUGGAAAUUGCUCCUUGCUG